UUGGAGGUUAAGAAGGUGAGGCCAGUUAAGAUUGUGUGGCUCUCACUGAUACCCACCUCCGAGAGAAAAGCAGCUGAGAGAACAACUUGUGCCAGAAGAUAGGCCCAGGUUACAUCUCAGCCAACAAAA
Molecule: small nucleolar RNA, 129 nt
Filed under: Mola mola (ocean sunfish)
Lineage: Eukaryota; Metazoa; Chordata; Actinopteri; Tetraodontiformes; Molidae
Description: Small Cajal body specific RNA 15 (ENSMMOG00000010149.1)
Source: RNAcentral